RNAcentral lists this ribosomal RNA (484 nucleotides) under uncultured bacterium. RNAcentral describes it as "bacterial SSU rRNA". It matches the Rfam family "Bacterial small subunit ribosomal RNA", at positions 30 to 507 of the family's 1533-position model. The record is from RNAcentral.
AUUGAACGCUGGCGGCAUGCCUUACACAUGCAAGUCGAACGGCAGCACGGGAGCAAUCCUGGUGGCGAGUGGCGAACGGGUGAGUAAUAUAUCGGAACGUGCCCAGUCGUGGGGGAUAACGUAGCGAAAGCUACGCUAAUACCGCAUACGAUCUAUGGAUGAAAGCGGGGGAUCGCAAGACCUCGCGCGAUUGGAGCGGCCGAUAUCAGAUUAGGUAGUUGGUGAGGUAAAGGCUCACCAAGCCGACGAUCUGUAGCUGGUCUGAGAGGACGACCAGCCACACUGGGACUGAGACACGGCCCAGACUCCUACGGGAGGCAGCAGUGGGGAAUUUUGGACAAUGGGCGCAAGCCUGAUCCAGCAAUGCCGCGUGCAGGAUGAAGGCCUUCGGGUUGUAAACUGCUUUUGUACGGAACGAAACGGUGAGCUCUAAUACAGUUUGCUAAUGACGGUACCGUAAGAAUAAGCACCGGCUAACUUCGUG